AUCUGUGAUGCGAGCCUAUCAUCUUGACUCCCAGCAUUGUGAUCGAGGAAGCCGCUGACGAGAGGAAGAGCUGAUGAGAGCCUGGAGGUUGCUCAACGGACGAGAGGGCGCCUUCUCGCUGGUUGAGGGCUUCUGGCCCUCACCUGCCAAAGUGUGAGAAUCUUUCACUGGUUUAUCUAACACAUGAGUAUUAGUCCCUGUCGUGUGCCAAGCGCCCUUGCCGGGCGGCGGACUGGCGCUGCCGCCAAACUGAGAACAAACGAAGAGGAACCCCGCCGGCUUCCAAAGCGCACGACACCCCGGAAUCCCCCCGCCCUCCGGCUGCUCCUCAGAGGGGCGUGGCCGAACGUGCGGGCGGGGGCGGGGCCUGUCGCCCGGGAAACCACGGGCAAAGCUUCAGUGCUCUUACAGGCCCCCGUUUCGGUUGAACUGUUGCAGGUGGUCGCCCUGGGCCGUUGCUGACCCCGAACGCCAGUGGGGGAAGAAGGGUCUCUGAGGCUCAGGUGCACCGAGGCCCCAGCCGCCCUUUGCGACGCCGCCGCGGGCUUCGGGAACAAUAGAUGUGGUUUGGGUUGGUUUUGCCCAGACCUGGUGGUGCCUCAAGUCAGGGUGGCCCACAGGCCCGGCCCUAAUCUCCUACGUCUCGAAGUCUACGUGCCCCUCGUCUGGAGAAGCAGAAGCGCGGACGCCGGAAAGAGCCGCUGCUGGCCGUGGGGAAGAAAGUUCUCUCUUCAUCCUCGGCCUGGGCCGCCCAAGUAAGGGUCUUUGAAGAAUGUGCAAAAUGUGGAAAUGCUACACCUCUGAGGGCAACAAUGUUUGGUUCCUUGCCUAAGGAGAGAAACAGCCCUUCCCUGAGGUGUUGGAUGAACCACAGCUUCAUCAUUUGAAUCCCAGCAAGAGCAAAAGGAAGAAAACAAACCAGUCACUAUCUCAAAGAUGCUGUCCUGCCAU
Orcinus orca (killer whale) is the source of this 951-nucleotide long non-coding RNA. RefSeq lists it as uncharacterized. The transcript is spliced from 3 exons. The record is from RefSeq and is a predicted model, not a curated record. NCBI's taxonomy places the organism in Eukaryota, Metazoa, Chordata, Mammalia, Artiodactyla, Delphinidae.